Molecule: ribosomal RNA, 404 nt
Filed under: uncultured Pseudomonadota bacterium
Lineage: Bacteria; Pseudomonadati; Pseudomonadota
Description: bacterial SSU rRNA
Rfam family: Bacterial small subunit ribosomal RNA
Source: RNAcentral
CAACCUUUGACAUGGGAAGUAUGAGUCUGAGAGAUCAGAUUCUUCAGUUCGGCUGGCUUCCACACAGGUGCUGCAUGGCUGUCGUCAGCUCGUGUCGUGAGAUGUUGGGUUAAGUCCCGCAACGAGCGCAACCCUCAUCUUCAGUUGCCCCCAGGUAAUGCUGGGCACUCUGAAGAAACCGCCGGUGACAAGCCGGAGGAAGGCGGGGAUGACGUCAAGUCCUCAUGGCCCUUACAGGUUGGGCUACACACGUACUACAAUGGUGGUGACAGUGGGCUGCGAAGGCGCGAGCCGGAGCCAAUCCCCAAAAGCCAUCUCAGUUCGGAUUGCACUCUGCAACUCGAGUGCAUGAAGUUGGAAUCGCUAGUAAUCGCAGAUCAGCACGCUGCGGUGAAUACGUUCCC